This 406-nucleotide ribosomal RNA is filed under the name uncultured bacterium. RNAcentral describes it as "bacterial SSU rRNA". It matches the Rfam family "Bacterial small subunit ribosomal RNA", at positions 976 to 1381 of the family's 1533-position model. The record is from RNAcentral.
UGGGCUUGACAUCCCUCUGACGACUCUUAGAGAUAGGAGUCUCUCUUCGGAGCAGGGGUGACAGGUGCUGCAUGGUUGUCGUCAGCUCGUGCCGUGAGGUGUUGGGUUAAGUCCCGCAACGAGCGCAACCCUUGUCUACAUUUGCCAUCAUUAAGUUGGGGACUAUGUAGAGACUGCCGGUGUUAAACCGGAGGAAGGUGGGGACGACGUCAAAUCAUCACGGCCCUUAUGCCCAGGGCUACACACGUGCUACAAUGGUAGGGACAAAGAGCAGCGAGACAGUGAUGUUCAGCCAAUCUCAAAAACCCUAUCUCAGUUCGGAUUGAAGUCUGCAACUCGACUUCAUGAAGUUGGAAUCGCUAGUAAUCGUAGAUCAGCAUGCUACGGUGAAUACGUUCCCGGGCCU